UUAUGGGAGGGGGCAGUGGCCACAAGAGGGCAAUGGAUUCCUUGGAGCUGGAGUUAGGGACAGUUGUUUGUCACCUGUCACUGGUUUUAGGAAAUGAACUCAAAUCCUCUGCAAAAGCUACAUGCACAUCCUUAACCUCCAAGCUCUCUCUGUAGUCUGAUAGGUUAGUAUAAGGCAUGCAGGGCUAAGGUCUAUGUGGCACAUGGGAACAGAGAUGUCUAGAGGUAGUCUUCUCUCAGAUCCGGAGUUAGGAGAUGAUAACUGGUGGGCUGGAGAAAAAAAAAUACAAAAAUCCUCAGAACAUAGCAGCAUCUGAAAUUAAACCAAGAAAUCCCAAAGGAGAAGGAAAACCCAGAGGAAAGCAGAUGCAGGCACAGGGAGAUGGUGGCUGAAGGUGCCGGGCCAGGAACUCCGCUCCUAGGUCUUGCUUGGUUUGCUGGUCUAGUGGGACUAAGUAGAGACCAGAGCCAAAGAGUAGCUCAUGGAGAAACCGAAAAUGUCAUAAGGACUAGGGGAAAGAGCUUCGCCUUGACCAGUGAAUGUUAGUUUCAUCACCAUGGUAUAUUAAUUGCUUUUCUCACACCCGUGAUCAAAUACCUGAUCAAAACAAUGUAAGCGAUCCUUUAUUUUGCCUUCAUUUGAUACUGUCCAUCACAGCAGGGACUGGUGGCCCCAGACGGGAACACAGGGUGACUGGUCACACUGUCCAAAGUCAGGAUGCAGGGAAAAAUGGACGAAUGUUCUCAGCUACCUUUCUCUCUCUACUCAGCACCAGCCCAGUGCCGCAGGGCUCCCCACAUUCACAGUGGGUCACCUCUCUUCACAUAAACCUUCCAGGAAGCACGGUAUAGACACACGCAAAGAUGUGUUUCCAAGGCAACUGUAAGUCUACUCAAGUUGACAAUGAAGAUUAAUGAUCAUAAUUUGGAAUUCUGUGCACACCUUUAGUCCCAGCAUUUAGGAGGCAGAUCUCUUGAGUUUGUGGCUGGCCUAAUCUACAUGUGAGUUCUAAGACAUCCAAGACUACAUAGUGAGAACUUGUCUCAACAAAAAGUAAAAGAAAAGAUAGCUAUCAUAUGUGGUUUUAAACCUAUUUGAUACUAUUUCCAUUUAUUCUUUGUAAAUGUCAUACAUCUAUAUAGCAUAUUUUGUUCAUAUCCAUCUACCCUUGCCCCCUUGAGAGCUCAGUGCCCUUCACCCUCCCAACUUCAUGCAGUUUUUUGUUACUAUUGUUUCCUCUCAGAGGCCAGCAUGUUUAUGGACGUAGAACUAUUCACUGGGGCAUGGGCAGACUACAGCUCUGUUCCGAAAAAACAGUGGUGCUCUCUUCUGUUCACAGCUCUCCUCCUCUAGUCAGCUCUUUCAUUCUUUAUGAAGUGAAAAAAAUAGUUAGAUAGUUAGUAGAUCAGGCUGGCUCCAAACUGAGAGAUUCUCCUGCCUCUUCCUCCUGAAUGUUGAUAUUUAAAACCCAGCCAAGCCAGUGGUGGUGCAUACUUUCAGUUCCAGCACUUGGGAGGCAGAGGCAGGCAAAUCUCUUAGUUUGAGGCCAGCCUGGUCUACAGAGUGAGUUCCAGGGCAACUAGGGCUACAUAGAGAAACCUUGUCUCAGAAAAGGGGGAAAAUGAAAACCAGCCAAGAAAAAACUUUAAACAAGGCAUGGUAAUUCUAGCACUUAGGAGGCUGAACAGUUACAGGCCAACUUAUACUAUAUGAGUUUGAGGCCUGUCUGGACUACAUCGUGAGCCUCUGCCAUCUCUCCACCUCCAUUCUAAGUGUCACUUGUUGGGUUUUCUUUUCUUUUUCUUUUUCUUUUUGUGGGGGUGUUUUUUAUGAAAUAGGGUUUCUCCUUGUAGCCCCUGGCUAUUCAGGAACUUACUGUGUAGACCAGGAGGGCCUCAAACUCACAGAGAUCCACCUUCCUCAGCCUCCUGACUGCUGGGAAUAAAGGUGUGCCCCACCACCAUCUGAUUCUUUUUUUUUUCUUAAUUUAGGUCGUCAUACAGAAUAAUAGGUCUUACUAUGGCAUCCUCAUGAACCUGCCAUUAUCUAUCACUUGCUUACACUGUGAGUCAAAGGUGGUGCUGAGGACUCCCUAGCCAAGGUCUGCAUAAGACUUGGAAGUUUCCUCAUCCUGUUGGAAAUCAGCCUUUAGACACGAAUACUUGGGGUAGCCUACAGCACAGUGAGAGCCUGUGUGAAGGACCCUGAACAUGGCAGGCAAACACUGUACCGCUGAGCCACACCUCCGGUCCUGUUGGUUAUGUCUAACACCUAAGUCACGGAUACCCUGAGUGACAUUCCUCAGCCUUAAGAACAGAGACUGAACACAGCAGCGCUCACUCAGAGGCAGGUGGAGUGUGCAGAGCACAGAAGGUACAGUGGGUGGACAGGAAGGAGCUGGAGGCCAUGCCAACAGGUCUGGAUCAGUGGCUCUCAACCAAUGGACUGCCAACUGCUGGCCACGGAGCUGGAGGCUAACAACUGUCAAGUGUGCCCUGACAGUGAAGACCAACUGCACCCCAGAAAUGAUGACACCCUCAGACAGCAGGAAGUAGCCUAAGGAACCAAUGUUCCCAUCCCUGCCUCACCAUCUCUCCCCUUCUAGUUCCUUCUCUUUAUAAGAAACCAAAGGGAGCAGCCUGAGGGGCCUGGUGACAGCAGGACACAUCAUCACUAGCUGCCAGGAGGUGACACAUUCCUCCUGUCACUUGUCCCACAGCCCCUGAUAAAAGCCCUUUUCCCUUCAUCUCUUCCAGAGGCAGCCUGUGUAUCCCCUCCCUUCCCCCUGAAUAAACCUCCCAUGUGAAA
Mus musculus (house mouse) is the source of this 2808-nucleotide long non-coding RNA. RefSeq annotates it as predicted gene, 35248. Lineage: Eukaryota; Metazoa; Chordata; Mammalia; Rodentia; Muridae. The transcript has 5 exons. The record is from RefSeq and is a predicted model, not a curated record.